Long non-coding RNA from Oncorhynchus tshawytscha (Chinook salmon), 2871 nucleotides. The record is from Ensembl. Lineage: Eukaryota; Metazoa; Chordata; Actinopteri; Salmoniformes; Salmonidae.
UUGCAGGCGUCUCUUUUUAUUGACACACAGGUUUAAAUACAGACGUAAUACAUUCAUUGGCCUCAGUGUGUUUUUUUUACAGACAGGGUUUACAUUAAAAAAAAAGACUGAAAAACAUCCAUUGAUAUGCUGGCGUGAUAAAUCUAUAGUUGAAUGGCUGCAUUCACUGUCACAGAUUAGACCUUUCACUGAAAGUACAGACAAUCUGGAGAAAACACAUGUUUUCCUAUGGCUUUACUUCAAAUAAAGUAAUAUAGUAGUACUAGCAAGCAACACUCCAGAGAAGCAUAUGGAAUAUAUACACAGUACAGAAAGAACAUGCAGUACUAGCAGUCAAAUAACAUGUAGUACUAGCAGUAACAGAACAUGUAGUACUAGUAGUAACAGAACAUGUAGUACUAGCAGAAACAGAACAUGUAGUACUAGCAGUAACAUAACAUAUAGUACUAGCAGAAAGAGAACAUGUAGUACUAGUAGCAACAUAACAUAUAGUACUAGCAGAAACAUAACAUAUAGUACUAGCAGAAACAUAACAUAUAGUACUAGUAGUAACAGAACAUGUAGUACUAGUAGCAACAUAACAUAACAUGCAGUACUAGCAGCAACAGUGGACGCAAAUAUUCUCCCCAACUGAAUAUUGGACAAGUUCAAAAUUCCAAGUCAAUCAAAUUGUUGACAGUUAUCCAAAGUAGAUGAAGAAAUGGACAAACAACAGGGGACGUGUCAGAACAUGUCUAAGGGAAUAUGGCUACAAGCAACGACAGCUCACGAGGGUAAAACCAGUAAAUGUGACAUCAAGACGGUAAAUGUAGUCACGGUAACGCAGGGCUGUGUAAAUGUAGUCACGGUAACGCAGGGCUGUGUAUAUGUAGUCACUGUAACGCAGGGCUGUGUAUAUGUAGUCACUGUAACGCAGGACUGUGUAUAUGUAGUCACUGUAACGCAGGACUGUGUAUAUCUAGUCACGGUAACGCGUGUGUCUCUGUGUGUGUGUGUAUUGUUCCUGGUUGUCCGAUUACUUCCUCAGUUCCUGCGGAGGCCCCUCCCCCAAAUGUAGUCCUCCAGACCCCAUAGCUCUACCAUGGCCUUGUCCAGAGUCGCCCUCUCGGACAGCUCAACCACCUGCACAACCAUAGAGGGAACAGAGAGAUGGUGUUAGCUGGAGGAACCUGUCUGUGCUUCUGCUUCGCUUGCUCUUUAGGUUUAGGCUGGGUAACUAUAGAGACCGUUAGGCUGGGUAACUAUAGAGACCUUUAGGCUGGGUAACUAUAGAGACCUUUAGGCUGGGUAACUACAGAGACCUUUGGGUUUAGGCUGGGUAACUAUAGAGACCUUUGGGUUUAGGCUGGGUAACUGUAGAGCUCUUUAGGUUUAGGCUGGGUAAAUGUAGAGCCCAUUAGGUUUAGGGUUAGGGUUAGGGUUAGGCUGGGUAACUAUAGAGACCUUUAGGUUUAGGCUGGGUAACUACAGAGACCUUUAGGUUUAGUCUGGGUAACUAUAGAGACCUUUAGGUUUUUAGGUUUAGUCUGGGUAACUACAGAGACCUUUGGGUUUAGGCUGGGUAACUACAGAGACCUUUGGGUUUAGGCUGGGUAACUAUAGAGACCUUUAGGUUUAGGCUGGGUAACUAUAGAGACCUGUAGGUUUAGGCUGGGUAACUAUAGAGACCUGUAGGUUUAGGCUGGGUAACUAUAGAGACCUGUAGGUUUAGGCUGGGUAACUACAGAGACCUUUAGGUUUAGUCUGGGUAACUAUAGAGACCUUUGUGACAAAAAUACUUCUGAUGUAAAAAAAACAAAAGGGCCUUCUAAAAUAAAAAUGGAUUGAUUGAGGAACCUAGAAACAAGCUAUUAAGGCCAGUCCAUGACACGUGCUUGCACAGUGUGUAGCUGUAACACACAGUGAUGUUCUCUGUAGCCCAUCUGGAGUGUUAUUGAUGUGUGAUCACUGGUGAUGAAGAGGUAACGUGGAACCACACCUUUUUACUGGCUGCCUUCAGUCUCUGCAGCUGCAGUAUGGCUGCAUCCUUCGACAGCAGCUCCACAUCUUCCUCUAUCUUAGACUGGGGAAAUAAAACACAAUAAGUUUUAAAAAGAUAUAUUAGGUUGUCGUUCAUUACCUCAUGCUGACCUGUCCCCGUGUGGUUGUUUAAUUGCGGUUGAAGCAUGUUUUAACGUCCUUUUGUGUUUGAUUGUCAGCGCCGUCCUGUGUUUACCUCAUUCACUGGCUUCCCAGCAGCUUCCUGGUUUAGCUUUUCACAGAUGUUUACCUGCAAUCAAUCAAUCAGCCAAUCAAACAAUCAGCCAAUCAAACAAUCAGCCAAUCAAACAAUCAGCCAAUCAAACAUUCGUAUCUAUUAAAAAAAAUGUUUUUCAAACUUGUACUUUGUCAGAUGUUGUCAUAAAUUGCUUUGACAGAUUUAGUGUGAGAGUCUUCUAAACAGACACUAGCUGGGUUACAGAGCAGUGUAACAUAAUCACUGAAACACAAAAAAAGGGGCCACAGGAAAUCCUGUCUGUGUUUGAGUCUCUACCGUCACAGAGAGGUGGUUCAUGCAAUUCACAUAGGAAGUGUCCCCCCAAAACAAAUGGCACCCUAUUUCAUAUAUAGUGCACUACUUUUAACCAGAGCCCUAUGGACCCUGGUCAAAAGUAGUGCACUAUGUAGGGAAUAGGGUGCCAUUUGGGAGGCAGUUCUAAUGUUUGAGACACUUACUGGGUGAACGCAUUCCUUCACUUCAUCCAGCAGGCCUCCGAGGUCAGGAUAAUUUCUGUCUUGUCUCUGGAGAACUUCCCGAUAAAAGUCCAGGAUUUUGAGCAGGACACAGCCGUGGUACUGGACAUGAGAGAGAACAGGAGACAUUGUGUUUUA